UUUUUUUUUUUCCCGGGGAGUCGGCCUCGGGGCUCUGCUCUCCUACCUCAGUCUGCCCUACCCUGGAAUGGGGAAAAUGCGGACAUGCCACUCAGUCCGGCCGCGAACAGUGCUCCAGAACUCAGAGAGUUUUCCAGACGGGUGGAGAUCGCGUUCCCUGCCCGCCGAGGUCCCAUCGCUUCCCUGCUGGGAAGACAAAUGAGGCGCUUUAGCCGUCUCCACGGCCAGCCCCUCCCUCAUAACCCGAGAUUCUUUGUGGGCUCUUAGUCCAUAGCUGCCUUUGAGGUGGUGUAGACCUUGCUAACCAGGACGGCCCAGUAGGCAGAGCUCAUUUUUAUUCCUGUCUGCAAUCGUGCAAAAACGCCUCUUAUGGAAAAGCCAGAGCGCCAGGAGUCAGCAAAACACACUAAAGAUUGGGCAGUCACUGGGGAGAACACUCAGCCCGCCUGCACCCAGGUGAAAUAUACAGCCUUGUUGCUCACACAAAGCCUGUUUGGUGGUUUCUUCACACGGAUGCAUGUGACAUUUGGUGCUGAAGACCCAGGACAGGAGGACUCCUUUGGGAGACCAGUGCCCUGUUGUCGCCCUCACUCCGUGAGGAGAUCCACCUAUGAUCUCAGGUCCUCAGACCAACCAGCCCAAGGAACAUCUUGCCAAUUUCAAAUCGGGUUGUCAGAAUCUGCAGAGAAGCUUCCUCCAAUCUCCAGCCUGAGAGUUCAGGCCUGGUUACCAGCAUUCUAGAAGCUGAAAGAGGAGAAGUUCUUGGAAGACUAAGAAGUCCAACAUUCGGUAUACAAAUAUUAGUCUUUAGCCUUUGCUCUUUUUUUCUAUAAUACCGUGUAGUUUCUGUCUCCUGAAUGGACCCAGACUGAUGCUAUAACUCAGCCUUUAACUGAUUCUGGUAUUCCCCAGUCAAGAGAUCCUUGAUUUCACUCUUUCUGAUGAAUCGACCUCCAGUGUUUUACCUGGAGUCAGGAGAACUAACAAUUUCUUCAACAAUUAUUCUAUUCUUAGCCAUACCUUCCCCUUUCUCCUCCCCUUCCAAAGGUAGCUGGGGCCACCAAAUCUUGAACCUUUGUGGGUUCUUUGGUGUAAACUACUUUGCUUUUGGCUACCCCCGCUGCCUGCUGAAGCUUCAGCUUUCCAGGUUCUACUAAGACAGCUAUUACUCAUAAUCUGUUUUCCACCUUCCAAAA
This 1196-nucleotide long non-coding RNA is filed under the name Homo sapiens (human). RNAcentral describes it as "oligodendrocyte maturation-associated long intergenic non-coding RNA". Lineage: Eukaryota; Metazoa; Chordata; Mammalia; Primates; Hominidae. The record is from RNAcentral.